GACCGGCACUAACAAGUAACAAGCAACCAAGUAAGAAAUUUUGUAGUAAUUCAUGAUGUUCUUUUUUUUUUAUAGUAUCUUGACCAGAGCUUGCGCGGAUAGCCUCAAACCUUACUGUAUUUAUUUUAUUGACAUUUUAAAAAUAAAAAAUCAACUUGGCUAAGUUCACUCGCUUAUCGCUCGUAACGAUUCCAAGCACCACCUCUUCUCUUUUGUGGCAUUGUUGUGCAUAUACGCUCCCGAAG
Arabidopsis thaliana (thale cress) is the source of this 245-nucleotide long non-coding RNA. RefSeq annotates it as other RNA. The record is from RefSeq. The transcript has a single exon. NCBI's taxonomy places the organism in Eukaryota, Viridiplantae, Streptophyta, Magnoliopsida, Brassicales, Brassicaceae.